CGGAUGAUUCACGUAAUACCUCGUAAACGCAUCCGCGCCAUCUCAUGACAAAUCUCCCGAAACUUCUGACAUGCCCGUCACUGAACUGUCAACACCACCGUUAACUCAUAUCCAUUUCUUGUUGCGUGGACUUCAUCCAUUGCUCUUGGUCUCAGUUAAUAUAAAUUUCGAAAGAAAACCUAGAGACCUGUUAAAUUUUGCUGUGAAUCCCACGGAGAACCGUGAAAACGUUUGGUUUUGAGGCCUUCGUUGAGUGUCCGGUUCUAGCUUUUGUUGAUAUUGUUUGUAGGAACUAUUGCUUUUGCUGCAUGAAUUUCGCGUUUUGAUUUCAUUAUUUUCGCAAUGCAAUUAGUGUCAAGUGAUGGCCAUAACAAAGAUAUUUCAGAAAGUGAACCUAUCUUGUCUCAGUCUGAGAGUUUGCAAAGAUCGGAAGAAUCUUCUUCUGCAUCUUCUUCGUCGUCUUCAUCUUUGACUUCUUCUGAAAUUACAGCUGCUAGAGGGGAUUGUGUUGUUGUUGCUGAUGAUUUACAAAGUGAUGUUGAUGAAACUAGCCAUUUGAUGAAUGCCGAUCAACCGCAAUGCCGUAUAUGUUUCGAUAUCGGAGGAGAAGACUUGAUUGCUCCAUGCAAUUGUAGGGGCACUCAAAAGUAUGUCCAUAGAACAUGUCUUGAUCAUUGGAGGUCAACCAAGGAAGGUUUUGCGUUUUCUCACUGUACAGAGUGCAGGGUAGCGUUCCUAUUACGUGCUAAUGUUCCAGCUGAUCGCUGGUGGCUGAGAUUGAAAUUUCAGUUCCUUGUUGCUAGGGACCAUGCAUUCAUUUUUAUAGUCGUUCAGCUGAUUGUGGCAUUGUUGGCAAUGCUGGUGUACAAAUUUUAUGGGGAGGAACUAAGAGAAAUGUUUGGUUAUGAAGAGCAUCCUUAUGGGUUUUAUAUUAUGGCUGGUUUAGCUAUUGUUUUGGUGGGUUUGCUCUAUGGUUUCUUCAUAGCCAUAAUAUGUGGACAGAGGAUCAGUGAACGACACUAUCACGUUCUGGCGAAACAAGAACUAACAAAGGAAUAUGUGGUGGAGGACCGAGAAAAUAAUAAAAAUGUCCCUGAACUUGAUCAGAGCCAUAUCACAGAGCUAAGAAUGUUAGGCCUAUACUAAUUUGGAAUUAUGCAGAUUCCAUGUUUCUUUAUGAUUAGUGGCUGCAAUUCCCAUCGGUUAGAAGAAUGUUGCUUUUGGGCAUAAGGGAAAACAAGAAGUGACUAUUGGAUAUGAGAGAUUCUCAGCAGAAUGCCACUUUGAGGCGCAAGUCAUGCAUGGGGUUAUCAAGAUGCGAUAACGACGAUUUGUGUGACACUAAUAGAAAAAACUUUUCAAAACUACAUAUUUUGAAAAGUUUUUAGACUUGGAGAAGUCCAAAUUUAGCAAAGUAUUAGCACACUUCAUUUUAUUGAGUGAGAUAGUUAGGGUGAACUCCGAUGCAAAGUUCUAGUUUAGAUUGAAUGAGUUGACUCCAGUUCAACCUAUUCUAAAAGAACAUGAUGAUGAAGAAGUUGGAAUUGGUGUGAGACUUUUACAAAUUAGUCUCAUAAGGUAAGGUUGUUGACAUCGACUACAAAACCAUUGUUGCGUGAUCUCGCCAAGAGAAGUAAUUCUGUUAUUACUUGAUAGACAUUUAGCUCGUCAGCGAUCAAUCAUAAGUGGAAGAAUAACUUGAUUAUCUUGUGAAUGAAUGACACUUUCAACAUGAAUGGAUUGAUGAGUCAUGUUGUUAUAAUAAGGAUGUACCUAGUGAUAGCAAUCUGACAAGGACAAAACUCUUACCACUAUAACAUGUGUGUAAGGAAAUUGUGAAAAUUAAAAUUUUUGACAUGUAUAUGUAAGCUUUGCUAGUUCCACA
Mangifera indica (mango) is the source of this 1885-nucleotide RNA transcript. It is a transcript of the gene named E3 ubiquitin-protein ligase MARCHF1-like, with no coding region annotated. The record is from RefSeq and is a predicted model, not a curated record. The transcript has 10 exons. Lineage: Eukaryota; Viridiplantae; Streptophyta; Magnoliopsida; Sapindales; Anacardiaceae.